Molecule: ribosomal RNA, 546 nt
Filed under: uncultured bacterium
Lineage: Bacteria
Description: bacterial SSU rRNA
Rfam family: Bacterial small subunit ribosomal RNA
Source: RNAcentral
UGGGGAAUAUUGCGCAAUGGGGGGAACCCUGACGCAGCCAUGCCGCGUGAAUGAAGAAGGCCUUCGGGUUGUAAAGUUCUUUCGGUAUUGAGGAAGGUUGAUGUGUUAAUAGCACAUCAAAUUGACGUUAAAUACAGAAGAAGCACCGGCUAACUCCGUGCCAGCAGCCGCGGUAAUACGGAGGGUGCGAGCGUUAAUCGGAAUAACUGGGCGUAAAGGGCACGCAGGCGGUUAUUUAAGUGAGGUGUGAAAGCCCCGGGCUUAACCUGGGAAUUGCAUUUCAGACUGGGUAACUAGAGUACUUUAGGGAGGGGUAGAAUUCCACGUGUAGCGGUGAAAUGCGUAGAGAUGUGGAGGAAUACCGAAGGCGAAGCNAGCCCCUUGGGAAUGUACUGACGCUCAUGUGCGAAAGCGUGGGGAGCAAACAGGAUUAGAUACCCUGGUAGUCCACGCUGUAAACGCUGUCGAUUUGGGGGUUGGGGUUUAACUCUGGCGCCCGUAGCUAACGUGAUAAAUCGACCGCCUGGGGAGUACGGCCGCAAGUUA